GUGUUUGCUAAAGGCGUGGCACUUUUUAGUUGCAGCCUUUCAUGAUUCUAUCAUUUUAUGGGGAGCCUCAUGGACCGUUGGAUUGGAAACUGAUCAAUGGCUUUAAUGCAGUGUAUAAAUACAGCUCUUUGGACUGCCCUAGUCAGUGUGUCUUAAGGUUUACGCCGUGUGAGAUUUUUAUGUGACUCUUCCUCUCUUCUUCGUGUUCUUCUUCCACUCUCUGGUUGGAAGCUGAUUGUUGGUAUGAUUCUUUGUGUAAUCUUGAUACUGUGUGUAAUAAAAGAGAGUUAUGUUUAUCCGCCCUUGAGGCUUCCAUCAAUUGAUAAAGGAUUGCUUGAGGAUUUGGAUUAGGGCUUGUGGUCACACAAAAGGGUACAAUUUGUUUAAGUUCUGAUCCCCAUUGAAACAAUCCCUAUCCUUGGUGUCUUCUGCUAGACGUUCGAAGGAAAGAAAUAAAAGAGUUUCUACGGAAGUUAUUGUAGAUCUUUUUUUUUUCUUGAGUUCGUUGUAAUUUUUGAGUUCGAUUUGCUAUCCUUCUUUUUCAUUUCUUCUGUAAAACUCUCCCCAUUAGCCUGUCUUGACCUGAGAACUUGAGUCUCAUGAAAUCUUGGUAGGGUUGGGCAGUUUAUCUUCAAAAUUUUCUUUUAACUCAUGCUUGUUGAAGUGUGCACAUUCAGUCUUCAUUGUUGCACUUAUAUCAAGAAUCUCUAUUUCUAAUUUAUUUGUUGUGAUCAAACUUAUAUUACUGAGUGUGACUAGUUUGAUAGAUGAUAUGAGCACCACUAGCUUUGAACUUGGGGUCUUUGAUGGGAAGGAAGAUUUUCCUAUAUGGCAAUAGAAAAUGGCGG
RNAcentral lists this long non-coding RNA (848 nucleotides) under Olea europaea subsp. europaea. Lineage: Eukaryota; Viridiplantae; Streptophyta; Magnoliopsida; Lamiales; Oleaceae. The record is from RNAcentral.